Molecule: ribosomal RNA, 379 nt
Filed under: uncultured organism
Description: bacterial SSU rRNA
Rfam family: Bacterial small subunit ribosomal RNA
Source: RNAcentral
CGUAGGGUGCAAGCGUUGUCCGGAAUUAUUGGGCGUAAAGAGCUCGUAGGCGGUUCUGUCGCGCCGCUGUAGAAACCUCGGGGCUCAACCCCGAGGCCUGCAGUCGAUACGGGCAGAACUAGAGUGUCUGUAGGGGAGACUGGAAUUCCUGGUGUAGCGGUGAAAUGCGCAGAUAUCAGGAGGAACACCGGUGGCGAAGGCGGGUCUCUGGGCAGUAAUUGACGCUGAGGAGCGAAAGCGUGGGGAGCGAACAGGAUUAGAUACCCUGGUAGUCCACGCCGUAAACGGUGGGUGCUAGGUGUGGAGCGGUAUUCCACGCCGUUCGUGCCGCAGCUAACGCAUUAAGCACCCCGCCUGGGGAGUACGGCCGCAAGGCUAA